AGCAGCCGCGGUAAUUCCAGCUCCAAUAGCGUAUAUUAAAGUUGUUGCAGUUAAAAAGCUCGUAGUUGAAUUUCGGGAUUGGCGCAUCGGUCGUGCCUUACGGGGUAUGAACUGGUGCAGUCAAUUUCUCACCUUCUGGAGAACCGCGAUGUCCUUAAUUGGGUGCCGCGGGGAACCAGGACCUUUACUUUGAAAAAUUAGAGUGUUUAAAGCAGGCAUUUUUGCUUGAAUACAUUAGCAUGGAAUAAUAAAAUAGGACGGCAUGGUUCUAUUUUGUUGGUUUCUAGGACCACCGUAAUGAUUAAUAGGGAUAGUUGGGGGCAUUAGUAUUCAACUGUCAGAGGUGAAAUUCUUGGAUUUAUUGAAGACUAACUACUGCGAAAGCAUUUGCCAAGGAUGUUUUCAUUAAUCAAGAACGAAAGUUAGGGGAUCGAAGACGAUCAGAUACCG
RNAcentral lists this ribosomal RNA (450 nucleotides) under uncultured Glomeromycotina. Its description in RNAcentral is "SSU rRNA". It matches the Rfam family "Eukaryotic small subunit ribosomal RNA", at positions 569 to 1017 of the family's 1831-position model. Lineage: Eukaryota; Fungi; Glomeromycota. The record is from RNAcentral.